UCCGGUUUGACACCGGCAGUCUCCCUAGAGUGCCCGGCAUAACCCGCUGGUAACUAGGGACGAGGGUUGCGCUCGUUGCGGGACUUAACCCAACAUCUCACGACACGAGCUGACGACAGCCAUGCAGCACCUGUGCACGGACUCCGAAGAGGGGCCGAUGUUUCCACCGGCUUUCCCGUGCAUGUCAAGCCUGGGUAAGGUUCUUCGGGUCGCAUCGAAUUAAGCCGCAUGCUCCGCCGCUUGUGCGGGGACCCGUCAAUUCCUUUGAGUUUUAAUCUUGCGACCGUACUCCCCAGGCGGGAUGCUUAAUACGUUAGCUGCGCCACCGAAGAGCAAGCUCCCCGACGGCUAGCAUCCAUCGUUUACGGCGUGGACUAC
This 378-nucleotide unclassified non-coding RNA is filed under the name uncultured bacterium. RNAcentral describes it as "contains 16S-23S intergenic spacer region". The record is from RNAcentral.